ACGGUUACCUUGUUACGACUUCACCCCAGUUAUCGGUCCCACCUUCGACGGCUCCCUCCAUUUGGUUGGGUCACCGGCUUCGGGCGUUACUGACUCCCAUGGUGUGACGGGCGGUGUGUACAAGACCCGGGAACGUAUUCACCGCGACAUUCUGAUUCGCGAUUACUAGCGAUUCCAGCUUCAUGUAGUCGAGUUGCAGACUACAAUCCGAACUGAGACGUUAUUUUUGGGAUUUGCUCACAUUCACAUGUUCGCUUCCCUUUGUUUACGCCAUUGUAGCACGUGUGUAGCCCUGGUCAUAAGGGGCAUGAUGAUUUGACGUCAUCCCCACCUUCCUCCAGGUUGUCCCUGGCAGUCUCUCUAGAGUGCCCACCUUACGUGCUGGCUACUAAAGAUAAGGGUUGCGCUCGUUGCGGGACUUAACCCAACAUCUCACGACACGAGCUGACGACAACCAUGCACCACCUGUCUCCAGUGCUCCGAAGAGAAGGAACGAUUAAGUUCCGGUCACCGGGAUGUCAAGAUCAGGUAAGGUUCUUCGCGUUGCUUCGAAUUAAACCACAUGCUCCACCGCUUGUGCGGGUC
This 585-nucleotide ribosomal RNA is filed under the name uncultured bacterium. RNAcentral describes it as "partial 16S ribosomal RNA". The record is from RNAcentral.